UGUGGUGACUUCCUGCAUGCGGGAUGUGCCAAAAAUCCGUCCAUAUCCAAAUUAACUAAAACCUCUUCAUAUUUUAAUCUGAAGGUGAAUGGUAAUAGAAAAGCAAAGAAGCAGCAACUCAUAAGAAUCAUGUAAAUAAUUGUGUUUUUCAUUGUACAGAUGUACUUCGCUUUAAAUGGAUUCGAAACACAAACAUGGCGUUGAAUCGCUAGCCCUAGAGUAAGCCACAUUGAUAUACUGUGUAAAAUAAUAGGUAUUUCCAUUGUUGUAAUGUCAUAUGCUUGGCAGAGUUUACACGACGGAAAUAUCAUAUAGAAUCCGCAUCCAAAAACGUACAUAAAUAACGGAGAUGGAAUAAAUACCGUCAACAUGUCCACAAUAGCUAACGCAGCCAGUAAAGCAUGAUGUGGAGUAAAAAAUUUAGCUCUCCAAAAUACCACUAGUAUUGUACAAUUUAUUACCACAGUAACACAUGCUAAGCUUGGAAAUAAAUAUCCAUUUAUAAUAAAGUUUGGUGUCGUCCGAUGUCUUCCCAAAUAACAAAUUUCGUUUGUAAUAUUCAUUAAAUCUUCAUUGAAUUCCAUCGACAAGUUUUCUCCUUCUCCAAGCAUUCUUUUAUGACCAUUAAAGAAGUUAUCCGUUUAAAUGCCUUGCUGUUAAAAAAGCUGUCAGAAACUAAACAUUCAUAGAUAGAUGUUCUUUACUUGAAAAACGAUAAUUAACAGAUGAUCUAGGCAAACUCUCUAUCUUAAGUCCGGCGAUGAUCAAUUUAUGGAAUCAUCGUGAGUGGUUUGUCAGCAUUUUCAUUAACAGUCAUGAUAGCAGCAAGAUGAUCCGAAGAUUACACUACUACUUAACUUAUUUGAUAUGACAUCGAUGUCGUGCUCCAUACAAUAAUUUCCUUUCUUUAGCGGAUUGAUCUUCCCAGCAGCCUUUUAUACCUCUAUACUUUUUCUAAUUAAUUCUAAUCUUGAAAAUACUAAUCAAGCCAUGUUUUUGUGACGUUCAACUUCUAUUUAUAAGCAAUUUUGACACACGUUAUAGUGGUUUGCUUAAUAUUUCUGAUUACUUCAAUAACUGAUUUAAUAGAUUAUUCUAUUAAU
RNAcentral lists this long non-coding RNA (1103 nucleotides) under Mytilus galloprovincialis (Mediterranean mussel). Lineage: Eukaryota; Metazoa; Mollusca; Bivalvia; Mytilida; Mytilidae. The record is from RNAcentral.